This 162-nucleotide non-coding RNA is filed under the name Candidatus Omnitrophota bacterium. Its description in RNAcentral is "Candidatus Omnitrophica bacterium 6S RNA". It matches the Rfam family "6S / SsrS RNA". From Rfam's summary of the family: E. coli 6S RNA was the first non coding RNA to be sequenced, but its function was unknown until recently. It consists of 184 nucleotides that fold into an extended hairpin structure with a large single-stranded internal bulge. Lineage: Bacteria; Pseudomonadati; Candidatus Omnitrophota. The record is from RNAcentral.
AAAACCCUGCCGCUCUCGUGAAGUGGAGCGAUUAAACUUUAGCCAACAAAACAAAAAUCGGGAGCCUGACUCUUCCGUAUCCUUGGAUACGGGAGGAGGGCACCCACCUUUACAAAAAAGGACCUAAGUUUGUCGCUCUGACACGGCCCUGGCAGGGUUUUA